Molecule: small RNA, 78 nt
Filed under: Arabidopsis thaliana (thale cress)
Lineage: Eukaryota; Viridiplantae; Streptophyta; Magnoliopsida; Brassicales; Brassicaceae
Description: ATSL003430
Source: RNAcentral
UUUUGAUGAGCCGACGAGCAAAACGGAGAGAUGGGUUCACGUGACCUUGCGCCGGAAACGUUACCAGUAGAAAAUGCG